Alligator mississippiensis (American alligator) is the source of this 2498-nucleotide long non-coding RNA. RefSeq lists it as uncharacterized. The transcript has 4 exons. The record is from RefSeq and is a predicted model, not a curated record. Lineage: Eukaryota; Metazoa; Chordata; Crocodylia; Alligatoridae.
UAGACACCCACAAUGCUUUAUGGAAGUCUAGAUGGAUAAGGUCUAUACACAGAGUCAUAUGCAAAAAGUGGGAAGUUUUGACAAGGUAAAGAACAUGGCUGGAGCAGCAGAAAUGUUGAUGAUUACUGAAAACAUCUGGCCUUGCACUUAGUAAACAGCACAAAGCCCACAAGGAAGCCAAUCCUUCUGUGACUUGCAGAGAGUGCAUCAAUUACUUGUUCCAAAGAGAAUGGUUAAAGAAUCUCAGAAGUCAGAAUCAUGGAGAAUCAGAAAGAAGUAGAGCUGGAAGAGACCUCCAUAUGUUAUCUAGUUCAGCACCCUACCAGAAGGAGGAUCAUUCCUAUCCACACCAUCCUGUACAAAUCCAUUGUUUAACUUAUUAGUAAAACUACUAUCAACCUUGGCAACACAAGAUAUAACACCCUAACCUGCCACAGGUAAAGCAGGGGGACCAUAAGAACCAACUGCUUCUGUAAAAGGUUGUUAAUAUAAGCUCAAGAAAUCCCAGGUAGAGGGCCAAGUGCACCACUACAGAAGUGGGCAACCCCUCCCCCCCACCCAGUCCAUACCAAUCUCAGCAUGGGGUUAAAAAAAAAAGUCCAAAGCUACUUUAGGGUACAUUUACACUGCAGCAGGAGGAGGGUACAACACACCUUAGCAGCUCACUCUCACUCACAUGCUCCAGCCCUGAAAAGAUACUUCUGAGGUCACUCCAGGGCACCUCUCUGCAGCUACAUGGCAUGCAUGAGAGUGGCACUGAGGUCAGAGAGCAGUUUCACUGGUGCACAGUUAGGUUUGGAUCAUAUGAAUGAUACCAGUGAAGAGUGUUGUCUGGGAACUGCUCAGGCAGGAAAUGCCUCAACUGUGGUGUGGAAACCACCUUAGGGUCCCCCUACAUGUGCAGGUGAAGGUACAAUGGGAUCUAGUGCAUGAUCCACACAAUCCCAUCACCUGCCAUGCUACAUAUGCAUGGCAUGAGGCGUGACUGUGGGAUUGUGCACUGGAGCCCAUUGCACCUUAUUACUGGUGAAGGGGGAGCUUGGGAUCACAAUCCUGGGCUCCCCUGCACCUGCUGCCAUGGCUGUAAGCCCCGCAGCUGCUGAGGCUUGUAGCGGGGGUAGCAUUCCUCAUGCUGCCCACUUUGUAAUGCCCACAGCUGACAUGGCCUGCAAGGCUAUCAGCAGGGGCAGUGGGGAGAAUGCUGCCACUGCUGCAAGUCCCACAGCCAACAAGGGUCCUGGAGGAGAGGGUAGAAUUUUCCCUGUGCAAGCUCCGCAGCAGAUGAGGAACGCUGCCACCACCAUGAGCCUUGUCAACUGUAAGGCUGGUAGUAGUUGGUGCACCCCUAUAGCUAGAGGACCCUCAAUUGAUGGAGCUCUCAGCCACAGGGCAGCACCUGGCCACACAUUCAAUGGCAUGACUAGAACAAGCUACAAAGUUAUUAUACUUUUUUUUUGUGUGGAAUAAAACAAACAAUAAGCCACUAAGUUAUCAUGCCAUUAAUUGGUUGAACAUGUAGCUGGGUUACAACUUAAGGCAUGAUUAACUGGUUAUUUAUGCCUUACGUGUAAUGUGUAGAAGGGACCUUAGAGUCAGGGUCAGAAUUCUCACUUAUGUAUGGAGGAAGUGUUGCUAAGCUGUUCUUCACAUAUGUGAAUUUGAACCUCAGACGCAUGCUCAGAGACAUUUCCAUUUCAGCUAGCUGCAAGUGGGCAUGUGAUCAUUUGGUCUGAGGGAUGAGAGGCACCCAGGCUUGAUACCCCAUCACUCCCUUCAGUGCUGUUCACUACAGAAACUGGGUUUUCCUUGAACCCGUCAGUGUAAUUAACCAUCUAGAACUAGCCAAAUCUUUGGCCUUUUCUUACUUGUGGACAGAAUUGUAGCUGCUAAUCCAUUUGAAAAUGAGUGUAGGAGAAGAGGUUCUGAAUAAAUGGGUUGACAUUUGACUCAGGACUGGAGCAACAUUGAAAAAAUGUGAAAUGUCAAAAAACAAAAAUAAAAUAAGAGUUCUCUAUUUGUGGGGAAAACAAGAUAUUUGACAACCCUGUCUCCAGCCAUUUGCAGUUGUUCAUACAUAUGAAAGGCAGUUUUAUUAUGAGUGGGGAACAGCUAUCCCCUUGUGGACAGAAUUCUUCUCAUGACAUCUAUGAGUCUAAUUCUCUGUAGGAAGCAGCACCACUUCACCUGGGGAAAAAUUGUUACUAACUACAGUCAGCACUGGAAUGAUCUGUUGCCAAUUUCCUGUGCACAUACUAGCCUGGACUGGAUUGUGCCAGGUCCAUAAAACCUGCACCUUGUAAGUGGCUCUGGAAGACCAAACCAAGUCUGAAGGAAUACCAGAAGAAGGCAUCUAGGUGAUACAUGGUCAUAAGGAGAACUGCACAUUGUUAUGCUCUUAUAGGUUACAUCUCACUAUUUUUUGCAUGUCCGUCUAGUUCUUUUUUCUGCUUUCUGUGGAAUACUUUAUAUCCCAAGAGACGCAGUGAAGGGGCAUAAGC